GGGUGUAGCUGAUAUAUACUAUGUCCAAUUAUACCAUGCCAAACAUCAAACAAGUCAACAUAUUGACAGGUGAAGAAAAAUUUUAGCUAGUAUGUCUUGUAAAUUUUCCAUUAGGGAUAAUAUCAUAUUUUUGCCAUAUUUCUAUAUUUGUAUUAGAAUAAUUCUAGUAUAAUUUUUUAUUAUUGAGUAUGAUUAUGUAUCAGAUUUAAUAUCU
This 214-nucleotide long non-coding RNA is filed under the name Elaeis guineensis (African oil palm). RNAcentral's name for it is "long non-coding RNA (EGUI_LNC078094)". The record is from RNAcentral. Lineage: Eukaryota; Viridiplantae; Streptophyta; Magnoliopsida; Arecales; Arecaceae.